UUAUAGAGAGAACACUGCCUGGUUAAGACCCUUGAUUUCGACACAGCUAGCAAAAAAGCCUGCGACAGAAGAGGCAAUCUUUCCAAAUACUGAAACCGAGGCCCAAGCAGUUGAAAAGACAGCAAAUGUGCUGGUAGAAACUGGGCCUGUAUCUUACAACCAUGAGGAAGAUGUGGAAGAAGAAGAAGUUGAAGAGGAGGAGGAGCACUGUAUAAGCGCCCUUCAGCUAAUGGGAGGAAAUGAUUAUGGAUGUGAUGUAGAUGAUGAAGAAGGAUACUAAUUGUCUCCAAAUGGGAUUGGUGAAAGAAGCUACUGAUGAUGUAAACAGACCCUCCUGACUUCUGAAUGGAAGUUAUUUCCCUUGCCAUGGAUUCUGGUCAGUUUCCAUUGACCUGCAGCUUGGCUUUAGAAUACUUGAAAAUGUUUCUGCAUCAUGUAUUGAGAAAGGGAUUAAGCGAAGCAAUGAUUCCAGAGAACAAAGGAGAAGAGCCAAAUAGUUGGCACAACACAGUGUAUGCUGUUGGACCUGUCUCGUGGCUGCCCUUGAUUCAGUCAUGUUGCUGUAAAGACACACAUGAACAAGAGGAGUGCCUCAUACAGUGUGCAAAAACUCCACAUGGAAAAGCUUUGGACGUGGACUGUUUUCAGUCGGGGUGUGUGUGAUGAAAAGCACAUUCACCAGUAGAAGAAGCCUGACCCUGGCAUAAUGUCCACGAUUCCAUGCUAAAAAAUGGAUGAAUAAAUAACAUCAGUGGUGAUAUGCAACAGGGUGCCCAGGCAACUGUUUUGGGGAAGUAAUCCCAAAUAUAUGGGAUUUUUCACAUGCACAUGCAGUAUUACCCUAAGAUUAGAGCAUCAUCAGGCAGGAAUCUCUUUCCUGCUAUAGGAUAGCAGUAGUACUUAAAAAAAUGUCUGAAGAAGUAACAGGAGGAUUAUUUCUUUGUUAAGGGUUGGUUGCUGUAUCAGAGUGGAGACCUCAAGGCUGCAGGCACCAGUUAGGGCAUCUCAGCAGGGAGAGCCUUUGGUUCCACUCCAAGGAAAUCAGGCCAGGCCUUCUCUUCACUCGUUGCUAUUAGACAGAGACAGGGCAAGUAAAGGCGGGGGGAAGAGUUCAAGGGAUAGGCUUCACCCUCUGGUUGCUGAUUGUGGUCCAUCUCACAAGCUUUCAUGUCUCCAUGAUGGGGCUCUGUAUUUCAAGAAUAGGGUGUUGCUUACCAGGGGUGAGGGUUGGUUGUACUCAUUUUUUGUCCUCACGUCAGUCUCAGUCAGCGUGGCACAAUCAACAGAUUUGCCUCUAAAAAGUUUUGUUUUGUUUUAAAGUAAAUAAGCUACAUUUUCUUCUUGGAUGUAAUUUAAGUUAAUAUUAAUUAAUGAGAUUGGUAUAGGCUCAACCUGCAAGAAACUUGACCUGCUGUCUCCGCUUUGUCCAGUAAACACUAUUCCAGUCAUGUCAGAACUUGCAACCUCGCGAACCUAAGUUUAAAACAGACCAGCAGUUUCCCAUUUCAGAGUCACCUUCCCAAUUCUGACUCUGCAGCAUUGUGGCCUGAAUACAAAGUGCAGUUACUUCUGACUCCUUUGACCUUUCUAGCAACAUGGCAUUUAUUUGCUGCUUGGAGUCAAAGUACAAAUGUCCCUGUGGGUUUUUCUCAUCCCUGUUGUUUGACAGACAAAGAGGAUGUGCCAAGUCAACUUUGUGGGAAAUUGAUUCCCUGCCCCACCCAGACAAACAUACAUCCAAAUCUCUGCAUUGGCCUUGGCCAUGUCGAAAAGUCAAGCUCCCUCUUUUGACGCCAUUUCUUGCUCUCGCCAGUUCCAGGCUGAACUACCCUUCCAGUAAGAGAAUGAGACUGAAAGGGAUGCUUUCCUGAAAUCCAAAGAGCUAGUUCUCACUCAGAUAGUUUUCUUCUUGGAUGUAAUUUAAUUUAAUAUUAAUUAAUGAGAUUGGAAUGGGCUCAGCUGUUCAGCUAUAUCACUCCAGAUUGCUGGUGGGGACUUCCAGAAUUAAAUGCUCUCCCAUGCAAAACAAAAUUCCCUUCAUAUAGACAACGUAGCAUGCGAAGCAAGGUGUCCUAUGUGGAGAGUGUGGUUGGGUUUUUUGUAUGCAGAAGCAAUCAGUCAAUAAUGGAGGGACCUGUGGCCCUGCAGAGGUUGUUGGACUACAACUCCCAUCAUCCCUGAUUAUUGACCAUGCUGACAAGGGCUGAUGGGAGUUACAAUCCAACAAAGUUUAGAGGGCCACAGGUUCUCCACCUCUGUUUGAGUCGAUGAGACCCACCAAACAAAAACAAUUUGCAGCCUAAGAUGGUCCAACCCAUAUACAGAUUUACCAGCUCUGAGACGUAGGCCCAAGUCACUGGGAGAGUGGAGGAGCACUUCCUCUCCAACAAUUAUUAAACAUGGAAGGAGGAGGGGACUUGGGUCCCAUGGGACAUCCUACAUUUAAUUCUUUAAUUGACUGUUGAAUGACUGUGUCUGAAUCUGGAAAAUGAGGAUAGUAAUGUGGUCACUUCUGUUUCGACAGAGAUUGCAAUGACAAGUUAACAAAGUUGUUCACUGCUAGAGGAACAACGCAACCACGCCCCCUUCAAAACAUUUUUUUUAGGGACCAAAUACUAGGUGAUGAAUUUUCCAAAGUACCCCCUCCCGCCCCCCAAAAAAAGAUUCCCAGGAACUGUAAUUUGUUACGGGUGCUGGGUAUUACAAUUUUGUGAGGAGUCCCCAGAAUUCUUUGGGGGCGGUGCUUUAAAUGUGCACACAGGUAUCUCACCUGGGCAGGUGUUUCUUUGUCUUUGGGGCUGAUUCAUGUCCAGAUUGGUAAAGUCUUCAUGCAACAACUCCACCAUCUAAUUUUAUUUGAGCAACCAUCUGCCUGAAAUUGCCACUAAUUGAAAACUUCAUCAGGCAGCAUGGCAGGUCCCCUUGCCAGACAUGCCUCCUUUGAGCCAAGUUUGCUGACACAGAGACUAGCGAUGCCAAUCUGUAGCUUUAGACUACAACUCCCAUCAGUCCCAGCCAGCAUGGUUGGGAGUGGCUGAGCUAUGCAAUCUGGCCAAUCCACGUGGAAUACCAACUGCAGAAACUGCAGAAGGGGGUGGGGGAGCAUGGAGAUUGAAACGUCUUGUUCAGGGUUGAAUCGAUCCUUUGGCAGUUUUUUUUUCCUGAAAAAUGAUGCUUCAGCGCUGAGGCAAGGGAAAUUUGCACCUGCCAGCCCUCUCCCUGCUAUUCAACUGCUAGAUCCUUCAGAGGUCCCAUUGGAUCCACAGCUCUUCUCCCCCCUCCCCUCCCUCCUGCUCCUGCUAGUGUGCUACUUUGGCUCAUUGAGGCUUCUUUUAUUUGGAAUGGGAUUCUGAGGGCCACACUCAAUGAUAUAACGGAGAUAAGUGAUCAGACUGCCUAUCUCUUUAAAUUCUUGCAAAAAGCGCCCACGUGGGAGUCAUAAUUUGGAUUGGACCACAGCACUGGGGAAAUUGAACACCACCAUCACACACCCCUGUGUUUUCCUAAUGAAAUCUGCCCACCCGAGCUGCUGUUUGCCUUGUUAGGGAAAGCUUUUGUAUACGUGUAAGUUGUACCUAAUGGGGGGAAAUAGAAAGCCUCACUUUGCAGCACAGUCCCAUUCUGCUGCCACCUUUUUGUGACUUUUUAUUUUUUUUGCAAAUAUGUAGAGGUACAUCUCUGUCAUCUUAUGUAAUUUGAUCCUUGAAGAAAACACUCUCCCUUUGGAAGAGCUACAGUGGCCCUUUGGUUGCUUAACCCAACUGUCCUGAAUGUACAGGUAAUUCUCUCUCACUUCCAUUCCUUGGUGCUCCGUGUUCUUUUGCUGAGGAACAUCUGUAUAUAUUUUGAGAGAGACUGCAUUUCUCUAGGCAUGCACGUAUACUAGACUUCUGAUCUCUGUGGCAUUUGCCUUUGCCCAACAGCAGCAUCUUUAAGUGGCACAACUUCAGAGCAGAUGCCCAAAGUUGCAAGGCUUCAUUCCAAAGAACAAACUGUAUUAUGUGAAGGAGAGAGGGUUGCUUAAUGUUGGUUCCAAAAGGAACCGCUGGGAUGAGUUCCUCAUUGCCUAGGGUCUCUCCUGAAUGUUACUGUCUGUGGCAGCGAUGGGGAACCAUUGACCCUCCAGAUGUGAUUGGACUCUCAUCAUCUCUGGCCAUUUGCCAUGCUAGCUGGGGUUGAUGGGAGUUGGAGUCCAGGAACAUCUGGAGGGCCAAAGGUUCCUCCUCCUUGCCCUGUGGGUUUGUUUAAGAUUUUGCCUCUCCCGUCCACCUGUAGACUAAGGUCAGGAUGCAAAAUGGAAAAUGGAUGGAAGGUCCACGGGUUACCCAGAGAAGUCAAAAUGGAAAGGGAGAGGCCCCCAGAUCAGAUGAACAAAAGGACGCCAAGAAGCCAUGUAUUUACUGGAUUCCUUAACUGUCUAAUGACUACAAUGGCCUGGUUUAUGCAACACAGUAAUUCAAGCUAUGGCUUACUGGCUCCUGGAGAGGAGCUCACAGCUGCUUUGCUCCUCCCCAGUCUUUUUACUCCCACAUCACACUGAGUUAAGCCAAGGCCCAGGCUCAUGGUUAAGCUCUCUUCUCUCUAACCACAAGAUGGGACCAACAUUUAUUCUUGGCUUCAGCUCAAGGUUUAAUGAGGAGAGAGCUGAACUGUGAGCCUGGGUUUGGAUGAUACGCUAAAGUGCGGGUGUAAAGAGAGCCAGGGAGCAGCAAAGCAGCUGCGAGGUCCUCUCUGGAAGCCUGCGCGUUUGUGUGGCCUCAGUAGGCCCCAGUUUGGGUUACCAGGUCAUGUGAACUGGUCCAAUGGAAGGCCCAGUUUUGGCUCUGUUGCCUUCUGAGUUAUGUGUCUGAAGGCCAAGCCAGAUGUGAUUAUUAAAUUGCAUGUUUCUUUAAAUGCAAACAGCAAUCGCUGAACAGGGGUUGAUAAUUACCAGGAUCUCAGCAAGUAGAGAGGGGGGACCUCAACCCUUUUGCCGCCUUGUGACGUCCUGAAGAAAAUAGCUCCUUUGAAGGUGCUGUUUGAACUGGGAGGAAAUCCUUCAUUGAUGCCAAUAGGAUAUUUCCUUCCAUCGUAAAGAGCAGCUUCAGAAAACUAGUUUUUUUCAGGACCACAGCAGGGGAGGAAAUGGCUAAAGCCCCCCACCGCAUGGGCAGUAAUUAUCAGGUUCCUGCCCCCGAGACUGCUAUUUUUUUUAAUGCACAUUAAGUGCAAAAGAACAUCUAACAUCCUGUCUAGUUGUGUCCAGGUUCCAGUUUUCAUAAACAGGAUACUUGAAAGGCCUGUCAAGGAGCCUUUUGCAAGCCAUCAGCUCUGCAUGGGGCUGUGAUCUUUUCCCUUCAGCUGCAGAAUAACCAAGGUAUGUGUGUGUCUUUUGUCUUGUGGCUGCAGAAAGGUGUCAUUGCAACGUGCCUUGGAAUGUGUAAGGGUUUUGUAAUUCAUUUAAUUCAUUUCUAAUUCAUUUAAUACUAGACAAGAAUCCAUUCCUUUUUCUUUCCUUUUUGGAAUGUUCAUUUCUUCGGGGGGGGGGAGGUGGGAGGUAACUAAGCUCAGGGAAUGGGAACAGAUUAGCAGAUGCCACCUUCUGUUUUCAUUACUACUUAGAACAAUGUUUUUUAAAAGGCAAGUGCAUCAUUAACUCUUGUCUGCCACUGUUAGCAUAUCACAGUGACUUUGAAGGAGGCACUUGGCUGGAUUUCCCUGAAAGUAAUUUGGACUUUGGCAUAUUCCGGAUUCAUAUGAUGAUGAGAGCUUAGAGGGUUUCAAGAAUAGUUGGUUUUAGAUUUCGAGAUGUGAAUCCUGGCUUUUUUCUUUAUUCCCACUAUAUAGCACAUAUUUCCAGGUCAUUAUAUUAGGCAGAAUCCUCCAACUGUGAUGUGGCACUUUUUUUGCCUUGAAGUUUUUAAAUGCUUUGCAUUUGGCUCCAGUUCACAGACUUGCCGAUGCUUAGGUGAUGAAGCAGAUCUUCUACAUGUGCCUGAUUGUGCAGAUCUGUUUUUUGCCAUCUCCUCCUCCUGCAACUUUGUUUUUGAGAAAGGAAGACCCAUGCCUCCACAUGACUGGCUGUUUGUGCAGAGUACCGAGUUAAAACUAGGUGUUGCCUGCCAAGAGGAGGUUAAGCUGGCUCCUCGGCCAUGCAAACAGUGUCGGCCCAGCAAAUGUAUCGACACCAUAUUGGAGAACAAUAUGGGGUGCAGAAAUGUUGAUGGUGAGGCACGCACAUUCAUAAUGAUCCCCAGGCUCUUCUGUAUCUCAAUCAAUUCACGAAAGCUGCUCUCUUCAGUACAGAGUCUUAAACGGGGGAUGCAUAGCAUUGUCUUAAAAGUGGCCUCCAUGUUCAUUCCAGUUGUUUUUGGAUUGUGUGGGAGUUCAUCGUCUCCUGCUGUUUUUAUGUAGCACUCAUUGCAUUGUGAUUGCACCGCUUUGUCACUCAUUAACAAGGCCAACACAUUCACUACACGUGAGUGUCAGCGAGUUGAAAUUAUCUGCAAGCAUCUUGCAUGGCCCUUCCAACCCACAUCAUGAGGGACGGCCCACUAUUCCCCCCGCAGCAAAUGUAAUAUCUGAUGUAAAUAUUUAUAAAGUUAUCUUUUAUUAUGUGUUCUUGCAAAUACUGGCCUUCCGUUGGUUUGUUGUUUUAUAAAAUGUAUGUUUUAACUUCUGUGUGACUUGAACAGCAGUGUACAAAAUAUCCAGUGUGUACCCUUAUUUUGUGUCUACAAAGCAAGCCGUUUCUAAACAUGUAA
Molecule: long non-coding RNA, 6743 nt
Organism: Rhineura floridana
Lineage: Eukaryota; Metazoa; Chordata; Lepidosauria; Squamata; Rhineuridae
Exons: 4
Source: RefSeq, a predicted model, not a curated record